This 519-nucleotide ribosomal RNA is filed under the name uncultured bacterium. Its description in RNAcentral is "partial 16S ribosomal RNA". It matches the Rfam family "Bacterial small subunit ribosomal RNA", at positions 355 to 864 of the family's 1533-position model. The record is from RNAcentral.
UGGGGAAUAUUGCACAAUGGGCGCAAGCCUGAUGCAGCCAUGCCGCGUGUGUGAAGAAGGCCUUCGGGUUGUAAAGCACUUUCAGCGAGGAGGAAGGUGGUGAACUUAAUACGUUCAUCAAUUGACGUUACUCGCAGAAGAAGCACCGGCUAACUCCGUGCCAGCAGCCGCGGUAAUACGGAGGGUGCAAGCGUUAAUCGGAAUUACUGGGCGUAAAGCGCACGCAGGCGGUUUGUUAAGUCAGAUGUGAAAUCCCCGGGCUCAACCUGGGAACUGCAUUUGAAACUGGCAAGCUAGAGUCUCGUAGAGGGGGGUAGAAUUCCAGGUGUAGCGGUGAAAUGCGUAGAGAUCUGGAGGAAUACCGGUGGCGAAGGCGGCCCCCUGGACGAAGACUGACGCUCAGGUGCGAAAGCGUGGGGAGCAAACAGGAUUAGAUACCCCUGAUAGUCCACGCUGUAAACGAUGUCGAUUUUGGAGGUUGUGCCCUUGAGGCGUGGCUUCCGGAGCUAACGCGUUAAA